CUGAGUUACUACUCUCAACCCUUGUGAACAUUACCUAUGUUGCUUCGGCAGGGUUUCCCUGGGAGGGAAUUUUAGCCGUCAGGUAGCCUGCCAGAGGCUUUUAGAACUCUUUUCAGUAAGCAUUCUGAGGAAAUUCUAAGAAAUCA
This 146-nucleotide unclassified non-coding RNA is filed under the name soil metagenome. RNAcentral describes it as "partial internal transcribed spacer 1". The record is from RNAcentral.